AUUGAACGCUGGCGGCAUGCUUUACACAUGCAAGUCGAACGGUAACAGGCCGCAAGGUGCUGACGAGUGGCGAACGGGUGAGUAAUGCAUCGGAACGUGCCCAGUCGUGGGGGAUAACUACUCGAAAGAGUAGCUAAUACCGCAUACGAUCUAUGGAUGAAAGCGGGGGACCGUAAGGCCUCGCGCGAUUGGAGCGGCCGAUGUCAGAUUAGGUAGUUGGUGGGGUAAAGGCUCACCAAGCCAACGAUCUGUAGCUGGUCUGAGAGGACAACCAGCCACACUGGGACUGAGACACGGCCCAGACUCCUACGGGAGGCAGCAGUGGGGAAUUUUGGACAAUGGGCGCAAGCCUGAUCCAGCAACGCCGCGUGCAGGAAGAAGGCCUUCGGGUUGUAAACUGCUUUUGUACGGAACGAAACGGCUCUGGUUAAUACCCGGGGCUAAUGACGGUACCGUAAGAAUAAGCACCGGCUAACUACGUG
This 482-nucleotide ribosomal RNA is filed under the name uncultured bacterium. RNAcentral's name for it is "partial 16S ribosomal RNA". It matches the Rfam family "Bacterial small subunit ribosomal RNA", at positions 30 to 507 of the family's 1533-position model. The record is from RNAcentral.